CGGAAAUCACGGUAACGGAGAGUCGCGCUGUUAAAGUCGGUGAAUGUGUUCACACACGCUUCAGCCUUUUGACAGCGUGUGUCUGUGACCAGGAAGUCGCCUCGCAUUCGUCGUUUGAUGUUAGCUGGCUGUCUAGCCUCGGGAGGGCACACCUGGUGAGGGCACACCUGGUGAGGGCAGCGCAGUGUCUGUCAGCCGCUCAGACUCACAGGGCCGCGGCGGUAAAACAGCGCGACGACUUGGUGCAACAAACGCUGAGCUAACAGGUGAGCUACACGUGCAAACUGUGAAAUGUG
This is a long non-coding RNA of Toxotes jaculatrix (banded archerfish), 296 nucleotides long. RefSeq lists it as uncharacterized. NCBI's taxonomy places the organism in Eukaryota, Metazoa, Chordata, Actinopteri, Toxotidae. The transcript has 2 exons. The record is from RefSeq and is a predicted model, not a curated record.